GUCGAAGAGUGAAAAAUACAGACUUUCAGAGAAUAUUUUAGCUGUUUACUAUCAAAUAUGUUUGUGAAACAGUUGAUAAUCUUACUGAGGAAGGCCAACGGUUUCUGAAAAGCUAAAGUAUGUCGAAAUCCAGCUUUGGAAUAGACUAUAUUUUCACCUGGGAAACAUGAACUAAAUGGAUAUUUACAUCAACACUAGAUUUUGCUCGUGCCUACAGAGCUAGUUGGAUUAAAACAGAUGUUAAGAAGUAAG
Molecule: non-coding RNA, 252 nt
Organism: Paramuricea clavata
Lineage: Eukaryota; Metazoa; Cnidaria; Anthozoa; Malacalcyonacea; Plexauridae
Source: the annotation of a GenBank genome assembly